This 150-nucleotide unclassified non-coding RNA is filed under the name uncultured fungus. RNAcentral describes it as "sequence contains ITS1". The record is from RNAcentral. Lineage: Eukaryota; Fungi.
UUCAUUCGAUUUUUACGUUCAGACUCACGGCAGAUUCACGCGUCUAGGCGGCGCCGGAGCGCCGAAGCACGGGUCGCUUCCACUGGUUUGAGCGUCGAGGGCGCGUGGCGCCGUUCGAUAAUGAUCCCUCCGCAGGUUCACCUACGGAGA